GAUGAACGCUGGCGGCGCGCCUAACACAUGCAAGUCGAACGAUUAAAGCACCUUCGGGUGUGUAUAAAGUGGCGAACGGCUGAGUAACACGUGGGCAACCUGCCCCUCUCAUUGGGAUAGCCACGGGAAACCGUGGAUAAUACCGAAUACUUCGGGACUUCCGCAUGGAAGACUCGAGAAAGCUCCGGCGGAGAGGGAUGGGCCCGCGGCCUGUUAGCUUGUUGGUGGGGUAAUGGCCUACCAAGGCAAUGAUGGGUAGCUGGGUUGAGAGACCGACCAGCCAGAUUGGGACUGAGACACGGCCCAGACUCCUACGGGAGGCAGCAGUGGGGAAUCUUGCACAAUGGGCGAAAGCCUGAUGCAGCGACGCCGCGUGCGGGAUGAAGGCCUUCGGGUUGUAAACCGCUUUCAGCAGGGACGAGGCGAAAGUGACGGUAACUGCAGAAGAAGCCCCGGCUAACUACGUG
Molecule: ribosomal RNA, 467 nt
Filed under: uncultured bacterium
Lineage: Bacteria
Description: partial 16S ribosomal RNA
Rfam family: Bacterial small subunit ribosomal RNA
Source: RNAcentral